Molecule: ribosomal RNA, 253 nt
Filed under: uncultured bacterium
Lineage: Bacteria
Description: partial 16S ribosomal RNA
Rfam family: Bacterial small subunit ribosomal RNA
Source: RNAcentral
UACGUAGGGGGCAAGCGUUGUCCGGAUUUAUUGGGCGUAAAGAGCGUGUAGGCGGCCAAGUAGGUCAGCUGUGAAAACUCGAGGCUCAACCUCGAGAUGUCGGUUGAAACCACUUGGCUAGAGUCCGGAAGAGGAGAAUGGAAUUCCCGGUGUAGCGGUGAAAUGCGCAGAUAUCGGGAAGAACACCCGUGGCGAAGGCGGUUCUCUGGGACGGUACUGACGCUGAGACGCGAAAGCAUGGGGAGCGAACAGG